AAGGGAGACCUAAUUCAGGUAUGAGACGAAAAAAAAGUAGUCCCUACCAAGAAUCAAUCCCAAAAGGUCGGAACGAGGUAUGAGGCUUUCAAACUAGGUUCUGGGUUCAUAAAAGACCUGAAUCAGGAACAAGGGCUAUUAGCUCAGGUGGUUAGAGCGCACCCCUGAUAAGGGUGAGGUCCCUGGUUCGAGUCCAGGAUGGCCCACCUGCACAGGUGGCAAAAACAAAAGAAGCUACGAAUCAGCACCUUAUCUUAUUUAUAUAUUUAAGAGAGAAUGCUGGCUCUGAGUACAGAGUCCAGAGGAACCUUGAAAACUGCAUAGAGCUAGGUGAAAAAGCCAAAAAAGAAGACCGCAA
RNAcentral lists this transfer RNA (358 nucleotides) under Microcystis wesenbergii. The stretch from base 133 to 206 matches the Rfam family "tRNA". Lineage: Bacteria; Bacillati; Cyanobacteriota; Cyanophyceae; Chroococcales; Microcystaceae. The record is from RNAcentral.